Molecule: non-coding RNA, 30 nt
Filed under: Homo sapiens (human)
Lineage: Eukaryota; Metazoa; Chordata; Mammalia; Primates; Hominidae
Source: RNAcentral
ACCUUUGGCCUUGCCUAUGGGUUGUUGGAA